This 232-nucleotide ribosomal RNA is filed under the name uncultured bacterium. RNAcentral's name for it is "partial 16S ribosomal RNA". It matches the Rfam family "Bacterial small subunit ribosomal RNA", at positions 15 to 236 of the family's 1533-position model. The record is from RNAcentral.
GAUCAUGCUCAGGAUGAACGCUAGCUACAGGCUUAACACAUGCAAGUCGAGGGGCAGCAUGAAAGGAACUUCGGUUUCUUUUUGAUGGCGACCGGCGCACGGGUGCGUAACGCGUAUCGAACCUGCCUCAUACUCGGGGAUAGCCUUGCGAAAGUAAGAUUAAUACCCGGCGGUCUCGGACGGCCGCAUGACAGUCCGAGCGAAGAUUUAUCGGUAUGAGAUGGCGAUGCGU